UGUCUAGUUUUCCUACGAAGAUAUUGCCUUUUCUACCAUAGGCCUCAAACGGCGCUAAAUAUCCACCUGGAAAUUCUACAAAAACUGAGUUUCAAAAGUGCUCUAUUGAAAGGAAGCUUCAACUGUGUGAGUUGAAAGUACACAUCACAAAGAAGUUUCUGAGAAUUCUUCUGUCUAGUUGUAAAUGAAGAAAUCACGUUUCAAACGAAGGCCACAAAGAGGUCCAAAUAUCCACUUGCAGAUUCUACAAAAAGAGUGUUUCAAAACGGCUCCAUCAAGAGGAAUGUUCAACUCUGUGCUUUGAAUGCAAAUAUCGCAAAUAAGUUUCUGACAAUACUUCUGUCUAGUUUUUAUGUGAAGAUAUUUCCUUUCCUACUGUAGGCCUCAAAACGCUCUAAAUAUACACUUGCAAAUUCCACAAAA
Molecule: long non-coding RNA, 423 nt
Filed under: Homo sapiens (human)
Lineage: Eukaryota; Metazoa; Chordata; Mammalia; Primates; Hominidae
Description: HSALNT0312908
Source: RNAcentral